This 1054-nucleotide long non-coding RNA is filed under the name Canis lupus familiaris (dog). Its description in RNAcentral is "lncRNA (ENSCAFG00040014340.1)". The record is from RNAcentral. Lineage: Eukaryota; Metazoa; Chordata; Mammalia; Carnivora; Canidae.
AUGUUUUUUCAGAAAGGAAUCUCUCUCUUUCUCCCACACAAGGUCCAGUAUAAUACUCACAAAGGAAUACGCAUUGAGAAAGUGUUGGAAGUGAUUUUCUGGGUCAAGCUCUGCAUUACAGCAAAUAUGGAUUCAAUAAGUAAAGAGGAGAAUAUUCUCAUGAUACUCUCAGAGUUUAUUCCGGAGGCUUCCUGGAACCCAGCUGUGCAGAAGUUUGAGGUAGGCCCAGUAGUGCCAUGGUCUUAUCUUAAAGUCUUCCUUUUUUUUUCUUAAACAACAAACAACUCUAUUGACGUGUAAUCUGUAUGCCAUAAAAUUCGCUCAUUUUAAGUAUACAAUUAAAUUAUUUUUAGUAAUUUUACUGAGUUGUUGAGCCAUCAUCUUGAUGCAGUUUUAGAACAUUUUCAUCACUCCAAUAAGACCCCUCCUCCAUUUAACAGUUAAUCCCCAUUCUUACCCCAGCCCUAGGCAACCACCUACAUGUCCUCUGUUUCUAUAGAUUUACCUAAAGCUUUGUGCUAUUAUUCCCUCUGAGCUACUCUAGUUGCAGGUUAUAAUGACUGAAGGCUAAUUUACCCUAGAAUUGUCUCAUAGCAAGCAAAGGUUGUCUCUUAAGCUCAGCAUGUCUUCUAUUUCAAGCCACUGUAGAGGAUACAUCUGGUACAGAUGUUCUUAUUUUGAGUCUAAACUGUGUUUUUCCACUGUGAUUCUGAUAAAUUUUAUGGGGGCAAGCCUGACAGGCAUCUUUUGCAAGAAAUUAAAACUUAUGCUAAGUUAAGGAUGUGACCAUCAAGAAGUCUGCCUCUCACAUUUGUCUCCUGACUUGGUUUCCCUACAUACCAAUCUAAAACUGGAUUAAUCUUCAUUAUUUGAAUUACAUAAGAGGGGUAUCGACAUAAAAUUAUGAACGAUCCAUUCCAUCUAGUGGUCCCUGUGCCCUUACUUUGUCAUGUGUUAUGCAAUCAAAAAAAAAAUUCUACUUACUUGGUAUACAUCAAUAAAGUGAAAACUAACAUGAUGGCUUUUUCUUCACAUCUCCUAAGUUAGGUUUCUA